Molecule: non-coding RNA, 155 nt
Filed under: Bacillus testis
Lineage: Bacteria; Bacillati; Bacillota; Bacilli; Caryophanales; Bacillaceae
Description: SAM riboswitch (S box leader)
Rfam family: SAM riboswitch aptamer (S box leader)
About the family: The SAM riboswitch is found upstream of a number of genes which code for proteins involved in methionine or cysteine biosynthesis in Gram-positive bacteria. The SAM riboswitch acts at the level of transcription termination control.
Source: RNAcentral
UCUUAUCCCGAGCUGGUGGAGGGACAGGCCCUUUGAAGCCCAGCAACCUGCUGUCAUUGCAGCAUUAUCUUGUUUAUCAUGCAGCGCAUGGUCAAAGAUUCUGCGACAGCGAAGGUGCUAACCUGAUGCAAGGCAUUGGUCCUUGAACGAUAAGA